This is an RNA transcript of Monopterus albus (swamp eel), 3500 nucleotides long. It is a transcript of the gene named proline rich 16, with no coding region annotated. The transcript has 3 exons. The record is from RefSeq and is a predicted model, not a curated record. Lineage: Eukaryota; Metazoa; Chordata; Actinopteri; Synbranchiformes; Synbranchidae.
AGAGCGCGCAUCCUCUGCGCCUUGGACGCUGGCUGCUCACACUCUCCGAGGAGGCUGCGAUGGAGACACGAUGAGACUGGCGGGGUGUUUUUCGGUGGACAGUGCCUCUGGGGCGUCGUUACCUGGUGGUUUGCCGGACUGUAUUACUAGCAGAGCGACACACUGAGAAAAAGGAGUGUGUGACCAUUUUUAAAGGAUUAUUGAUUAUUGACCAUCAGCCUACAGUAACGACCGUCAGGACAACGGUGUGGAUAGCUCCCGGUGUACUCUCUGUUUUUCUUUUUGUUCAAUUUAUUUUCUAUAGCUGACACAUUUUAACGCAGUCCUGUUGGACAUUUUCCCCCCACAAAAUGUUAAAUUUAGCGCUCUUUCGACGUGGAGGAUAUCCGUGGCAAGUCAUUUUUGGCUGUUGCCGGACAAGCGUGUAAGGUGCACAAACCUGUGGACGGUUUCUCAGACAGUAUGAUACAAUAUUUUGACAUAACCAUUAUUUUUUGCGUUACGCUCUAUCGCGCAUGCCUAGUGGUAGAUAGCCUGUACAACGCUGUCCGAAGCCACUUGGCUCCGUCCUGGCCGUGAUGUAGGCGCAAAAGUAAAAGGGAGCGGAGGACUAAAUAAAAAUGCGUUGGCAAAGUGGCAACGUGGCGACCAAAGGAUUAUGACUUGAGAUCCUUUACGAAGUAGGUUUUGCCAUAAAUUGAAGAAUGUCAGGAACACCAAAUGCGGAGGCUGAAGGAGUUGUCUCCAAAGUACAAGUUAAAAAGGAGAUCAAGACAAUCGUGGAGAAUUUGGAAACCAUCCUGGGAGACCUCAAGGAUGUAGCCAAAGAGCUCAAAGAGGUUGUGCAUGAGAUUGACACCCUAACUUGUGACCUGCAACUAGAGGAGGAUGGACUGACAGACAGCUCAAAGACAGAUACACUCAACUCCAGCUCGAGUUCCACCACCACUACCACCGCUUCCAGCUUGGAAAAGAUGAAGCUUUUCCCUGAUGACUGCAUCUUUAAAACUCCUGUGCCCAUCAACCCAGUCAUUGGCAUCCCUCCUGCAGUACUGACAGUACUCAAGAAACCCCACCCACCCCUACCACCACCAAGACUUACCCCGCUAAGAGCCGAGGAUCACAACAAUAAGAAUCUGCCUCAUCCGACAUUAGUGUUAUCAGGGAGUAUAUCCAAGGCUAACGGGUCUCUGCUGAGGAAUGGCGGGAUUUUCCCACUGAGAGCAAACAGGGAUUUAUUCUCCUCCACACCUUGCUUCAUUUCUAGUGACAGCGGGAUCCCUGAGUCGGGGCUUGUUCCUACAUUGCCCAGACCUAUGCCGCUACUCCGUCAUGAAAAGAGCAAAUGUCCCAAGGCCUCUAGCAGGGAGCCUCGUGAGAGGGAGCGUGUCCGUUUCAGUGAGAAGGUCCAGUACCAUGGCUACUGUCCAGACUGUGACCUCCAGUACGAUGUAGACAACAUAGAACUACAAUUGCAGGCUGAGUUGAAUGACCUGAGACUCAGUCCUGUGCAUUGCUGCUCUUCCUCCUCCCCUCCUGCAUCCCAUGCUCUUGCUCAUGAUCUAAUGUUGGAAAAUGGCAGCCUCUCGGUCAGCCGCAGUUUCCCACCAACAGCAAACAUUCCUCUACCUUGUGUGCCUCCUCACUUGCCUUCCCUCAAACCCCCAAAAACAAUCCUACGCAAAUCAACUACCACCACUGUUUGACGCCGAAUCCUUUGGUAUGUCUAACGUAACAAUUCUUGAAUCAUUCAUAGUGUUUCCUACUUUAUGAGCACUUUCUACUCCAGUUGAUCCUUGGAUUAUCCAAACAGAGAGAUGAAGGGUUGGGAAAUGGAAAACAAAAGGAUGGAUAAAAUGAGUGGAAUAGAGAGAAAGGCAUCGCCACGUGUGCUAAGGCGUACACACUGAGUGAUCAGGAAGAAGCGGGCCCGCUGAGAUGCUUGAGAUAAGAGUAAAAGGGAUGCUUGUUUCAUCGACCCUGGUUGAUCAGGGAGUGAGGAUCCAGAGCUGAGGCCAAGCAUCAACCCUUUUUUUUUACAGCUGGCUCUCAACCAACAGCAGACAAGAUCUUCUAGACAAAUUCAUACUGUGACUUUUGAGCACUAAAAACCUGCAGGCACAUGUUCCUGUGAAACUGAGGACACAGCAAGGGCAGGCACUGUAUGCAAUUGCAUACAGACAGGGAUUUUUUUUAGCUGUGGAAGUGAUAUUUUUGUUACAUAAAUAGUUGGCUUAAAGAUUAUAUUGCUGCUGAGAUCCUAUCAUCAAAGGUAAAGAGGCAAUGAAUGAUGCGGUUACUGAUCUGUGUCCAGACAUCAUGUUCAUUGUACAUCAAACUCUAUGUGCUCAACUGGUGCCAUACAAGCUAUGUUUUUUUUUUACAAUAACAUGCAGAGGUACAGACAGUGUGGCAUAGUUACAGCUUUAAAGGAACCUUGAAGAAGUAAUAAUUUGCAUCAAAUUUUUUUUGUAUACAAAUAUACAUGUACAUGUUUGAUAUCUAUAUAUUUCAUGCAUUUUUCUACAGAGACUUUAAGAUUUAAAGAGAUGAUAUUUUUGAUAUUUUGUUGGACGAGGCUUUCAUUCCCUCAAGGUAUGUGUUUUUCAACAGGGCAUAGCAGGAUGAGUUAUUUAUAUAUAACAACAGUAUAGUGUUUGUAAUGAUGACAAGUAUGUUUCAGUCAACAGAAUGGGCUGUACUGUGAGAAGGGAAGGUGGAGAAGAUAAAUGGCGUAAACCAAAUACCUAGUUGUGCUUUAGCAGACGGGAGGCAUGGGGCUGAAUCAAUGCGUGACUGGCUCUUCACUCUGUCCCGUCAUCACGGUGUUUUUCUAUGCAUUUCUGUGGGGAGGCUGGUGGGUAUGACACGUAGGGUGCUCUGCUCACCGUAACACAGUGUGAAGAAAUAUCCCCUCUCCUUUCCUCAUAUGAUGUCAGCCAGGCUAAUUCUGCAGUCAAUUUGGGUGUUCCCAAAAGGAAAGUUGUUGUUCCUUAGGCCAGUAAGUCAUUUAUAAUUAAAUUAUAAUGGUAAUAUUGUAUAUUUCUAUAGCACUUAUCCAAGAUUACAAAGUGCUUUAGGAGGCCAAAACAGAAAAAUACAGAAAACAGAUAGCAAAAAUUGUACAUAUAGUGCACACAUUUUCAUAGCCCAUUUUGGCUCAGUAAAAGAGUGAGGACCUUACACUGGAGAGCAAAAGAAAAAAAAACAUUUCUUUGAUACACGCAGCCGCUCUUCGCAUUCAGACUGGAGGUACCACAGUUGGAACUCCACCUCUUUAUUCUUACUGGACACAGAGACAAGCAAGAAUCAGUUUCAAAGAUGAAUGGAAUAUCUGAAAAAGCUGUCAUUGACAUUUUGUUUUGUGUGUGUACACAAACUAUUGGAAAAUAACUUGUGAUAAGUAAACACUUUGCACUUAAUGGUGGUGUGUCUGUAUAUAUUUUAUGGACUGGGCAAUAAUUUCAAACUGAGAAUGUGUUGAUUUUAUGUCUGUAUCU